ACAGGUGAGGCAAAUCAUGGAAAUGCACGAGAAGAACAUCGUGGAAACAACCGGUCUGUUUAUGAUGGAGGAAAUCCUGCAAUACAACAAGUUGUUGGUCGGAUUUGCGAACGAAAAUCCAAGUCACCCGAUCAGGAAGGAAACAGCUUCAUCAACAUCAUCGACAACUUCAUCAGCAACAGCUUCAUCAACAGCUUCAUCAACAACCUCUGUUGCAGUUUCCAUUGCAGAAGAAACCAUCUGAUUCAGCAUCUACCGUACGGUGAGAAACUCCAGAAUUCAUGAUCUACUUGCUGGACGGCAACUGUUAACCAGUUUCUUAUGAGGAAGUACCAAACAGAGGCUCCAUCAAUUUGGUACCAUAGCAUGAGCAUUAGGUUUAUUAUCAUCUUUAUCUAGCAUCAUAAACGUGUUAUACUUUACAGGGAUUCUGUUUGUGAACAAGACUGGCCGCAGGAAUAAUAGAAUGAUAUCAUAAGAGAUGACUUAAUGACUUUAUUGCAUAUUACCCGAGGUCUCAAGUCUGGAAAAGUCGUGUAUUUUUCUCAAAAUGCUUUCAAACUAAAUAUUGUAAGACAAGUGAGAAUUGUCCAUGUAGUUGCAGCAAACAUAUGCAACAUUCACUACAUUACAAUUCAGAGUUUUUUUACACACUAGAGCUCAGGCAUUGUGAAUGAUAUCAUAGAGCUGUAGCUUCCCGGAGAUGAUUUCAAAGUGACAUAUAGGACUAGUGGCUUUGGUGUUAGUGGUUUUGUAACUCUUGCAGAGGGUUGUAAUGAACAUAGACAUGAAAUUUUAGUAGCAUGAUUGUACCUUACGUUAUAUAAUAUUUUCAUCUGAAUAUAGUUUCAUGGAAUUAACCGGAAAAAAAUUACAACAUAUGCCCUUCAACACAUUACAAUUCUGAUGCAGAGAUAAAGAUCCUGAACAUCAUUCCUUUACUUACAUGUACAACACAAUGUGUACACAAUGGCAUUCUAUCUGAAUUGCACCAUCGCAUAAUUUUUACCUUUAUUACCAGUAUAAUGCUAUCAGGUCAAAAGGAUAUGUUAAAAUUAUAGGUGUUCAACUUUGGUGUUUUGCUUUGUAACAACGGUUCUUUACUUGACUUAUGCUAUGGGAAUGGAUGACUGUGUUUCACAAGACUGUAUAUUUCCUUGUGGUAUGGUCUAAGUCUAAACUGUGUGAACAUUUCCAUUUUAAUUUGUUCCUAUAGUGCUUAGGAUCUGCACAUGGGUGUCAUAUUCAGCAAGACAUUCUCAAUACGGAUUAUAUAACCUUUCUUAAAUGUGUAAAUAAAGAUAAUCAUGCAAAUCGAUAACUUUUCGAAAGAGUUAAAAAUGCCUCUAUGAAAAUAGAUGAGGGUUCACGCGCUCCUUUUAGACCCCGGGUGGGACACAACUCUGACUGCAAGUCUGACUUGCUACCUUUUGCAUUCCCCCUCAAAGAUUAUGACAACACACGAUUUUGAAGACAGAUAGAUAAGGUUUUGUAGAACUGUUAUGCCCAAGUAUUGAAGUUACACCCAUUCUUCUGGACGAGACCAAUAACUUUUUUUCAUUUACCCUCAUGUUGAGCUGCUUACCGCAAAAGAAGCCCAAUUGUACAUAUUGUACUGUUUCUUUAGAUCAAGCUGGAAAUAAUGGUCAAUGGUUGUGUACCAGAGAUCUGUUUAAUCUCUGAGAAUUAUGAAUACAUUAUGGCAUUGUUGGUAAACCCAGAAUGAAAAGAACACUCAGAUCAUUGAUAUUUGAAGCCAUAAUUAAUAACAUUGUGCCUUAAUACGAUGCUUGGUAGAUAUCACAU
Molecule: long non-coding RNA, 1806 nt
Organism: Branchiostoma floridae (Florida lancelet)
Lineage: Eukaryota; Metazoa; Chordata; Leptocardii; Amphioxiformes; Branchiostomatidae
Exons: 4
Source: RefSeq, a predicted model, not a curated record